This 216-nucleotide unclassified non-coding RNA is filed under the name Phoma sp. RNAcentral's name for it is "partial internal transcribed spacer region". The stretch from base 1 to 46 matches the Rfam family "Eukaryotic small subunit ribosomal RNA", at positions 1786 to 1831 of the family's 1831-position model. The record is from RNAcentral. Lineage: Eukaryota; Fungi; Ascomycota; Dothideomycetes; Pleosporales; Didymellaceae.
AAGUCGUAACAAGGUUUCCGUAGGUGAACCUGCGGAAGGAUCAUUACCUAGAGUUGUAGGCUUUGCCUGCUAUCUCUUACCCAUGUCUUUUGAGUACCUUCGUUUCCUCGGCGGGUCCGCCCGCCGAUUGGACAACAUUUAAACCCUUUGUAGUUGCAAUCAGCGUCUGAAAAAACUUAAUAGUUACAACUUUCAACAACGGAUCUCUUGGUUCUG